Long non-coding RNA from Mirounga angustirostris (Northern elephant seal), 2374 nucleotides. RefSeq lists it as uncharacterized. NCBI's taxonomy places the organism in Eukaryota, Metazoa, Chordata, Mammalia, Carnivora, Phocidae. The record is from RefSeq and is a predicted model, not a curated record. The transcript has 3 exons.
AGGUUGGAGCGCGGUGCCCCCGACAACUGGGAAGGACCAGUGCGAACUGUCUGCACCCUGCCGGGUCCAGAGGCGUGUGGAUUCCCCGAGGCCGGUCCCGAGCGCCCCAGGCCCAAUGCACGUGGGCGGGGUGGGGGCGCCGGGACCCAGACCCAGUUCCACGUCCGGGGCUGGGCACUGCGCCAGGGGCCGCGGAGAGCUACGGCGCUCACAAGGCGCAGUUGGGUGCACCCACUCGCGGGGUUCCCCUCGCGGAGCCACCCUGGAGAGCAUUUAAGUGCGCACCCACCUUGACUCUCGUCCACUGCCACUGACACGGAAACUCCUACACAAACAGCACACACAUUCGCGCCCACACUCAGUUUUACAAACACGCUUCCACACGCGCGCACACACAAACACGCACACGCGUACACUUGCCCUCACAGAUAUACCCGUGUACACGGUCAUAACAAGCACAUUUACACACACGCAAUGGCACACACAUAUCGUUGUACAACCAAAUACACUAAAAAACCCCCCCCAAAACAUGAAACAUCCCCCUGUGCAUUAAAUCCUCACGCUCACGUACACAUACAAACCCAUAUCCUCCCCCACUCCCUCUUUCACACCCAGAACCACCCCCCCACAGCGCUUGUGAUUUGCUGCACCCUCAGUCCCAAAUCAUAAUCGGCGCCCGCGCGUCACGGGUUGGACACACACACUCGCGCGCACGCAAGCACUCUCCUCCCUGCACAGGCGGGGGAGGCUUCGGCCCGGCGCCCGCUUCGGAUUCCAGGUGUGGCGAAGGCUCCGCGCUCCGUGUUUUGCAGUCUGCCGCGGUGUCGGAGGCGAGGCGAGGAAGGGAGCUGGAAUAACAAAGCUCUCAGAAGCCAGAAAGGGGCUUCUGAGGUCAUCGAAGCGAGAACCCCUAGGCCUCAUUCUUCUCAGGAGGUGACUCUCUCUCCUUGCAUCCUUCUGGGAAUGCUUGCUCCCUCACAUGGCAGACACUGCUCAGUGAUGUGCUGCUAUCUGUGUACUCGGCUUAUCGCUCUGCCAGACUGAGAGGCAGCGGGCUUGCUGAAGGAGCAUGGACUUUGGAGCUGCACGACCGGGCCCUGAAUCCCAGCCUUGCCGCUUAUGGCUGUGAGCCCUAGCGAAGCUCCUACCGCCGUGGGGAGCCUCCGCUUCCCUAUCUGUAAAGUGGGGCUGGUCAUAACUCCUUCCAAGAUGAUCUGACCGUUAAAUGGGAUUAGAAAUGUAACUCCCCUUUCCUGUUCCUGUCUGGGACUCUCAUCUCUGGGGGACAGAGAUUGUGUCCGGUGCUGUGUGUCCUCCUGGUUAGGACAGCAGUAUAAAUAUUAACAACAAUGGUAAACACAUAUAGCAAUGUGACUACAUGCAGGGUAUUGUUCUAAGAACUUAGGCGUGCUAACUCAUUUCAUUCUCACAACAACCUUGUGGCAUUGGAACUAUUCCUCCCACUGAUAGAUGAACAGUCUGAAGCACAGAAAGGUUAGAUGACAAGCCCAAGGUCACACAGUGAGUGGGAGAGCUGAGAUUUGAAUCUAGGAAAAUCGGCUCCAGGGCCUUAGCUGUGGAACACUCUAUUAAAUGGCCAUGGUUGAAGGGCUUAGAGAGGCUUAGGGAGCCGUUGGGGGCCGGGGGGGCUGUCCAUGGAGUACCCCGGUCUGUUGACAUUCUUGUCCUGUCCUGUGGGGUCACGGUGGACAGAGAAGCUCCUGGUCUGUCCUCUAGGACCUCUGGGCAGGUAAAGUGGUUAGUGCCGAAGAGAGGCUUGUCUCUAGGUCCCUAGGGGCAGAAGCCUGAGAGGCCACUAAUGGAUUAGGCAAUUAGGCAAUCAGAGAAGGCUUCGUGGAAGAAGUGGCAUUUGCAGUGGGCCUUGACUGAUGAAGAUCUGGGUGGGGAGGGACAAGGCAGAACAGUAGGAGCAAAAGUGCAGAGGUGGAAGAGGUAUAUUAGGAAUUCACUUAGGUGUCAAUCUAGACAUUCUCCUGUGUUCCGGUUGGUAGGUAGAGCAGAUAAGGUGAAUAUAGGGAAGGGUGUGUUAGUCGUCCAGUCUGUGAUUCAGAAAAAGCUGAGGGAACUGUUUCAGGGGCUCUGAAAGCCAGGACAGACCCUGAAGAACUGAGAGCCAGUUGGGCUGCCCUAGGGGCCAGAUUGGCAUUUUGCUUCUUUAUAAGCUACUCUGAGUACUCAGAGUCCUGGGUUCCUGAAUCCAGCUCUGCCUCUUGGUUAUAUCCCUCUGUUUCUCAGAGCCUUAGUUUCCCCAUAGGCAGAAUGGGCAUGAAGAGUGGACUUGGGGGGCCAGUAGAAGGAGGCAACAGGGCUGCUGGUGGGGCCCUGCCCGACACUCCUGGGGUAGGAAGUAGGU